Molecule: ribosomal RNA, 419 nt
Filed under: uncultured bacterium
Lineage: Bacteria
Description: bacterial SSU rRNA
Rfam family: Bacterial small subunit ribosomal RNA
Source: RNAcentral
AGGAAUACGUCGGAAUCUGCCCAGUCGUGGGGGAUAACUAGCCGAAAGGUUAGCUAAUACCGCAUACGACCGAGAGGUGAAAGCGGGGGACCGCAAGGCCUCGCGCGAUUGGAUGAGCCGACGUCGGAUUAGCUAGUUGGUAGGGUAAAGGCCUACCAAGGCGACGAUCCGUAGCUGGUCUGAGAGGAUGAUCAGCCACACUGGAACUGAGACACGGUCCAGACUCCUACGGGAGGCAGCAGUGGGGAAUAUUGGACAAUGGGCGCAAGCCUGAUCCAGCAAUGCCGCGUGUGUGAAGAAGGCCUUCGGGUUGUAAAGCACUUUUAUCAGGAACGAAAAGCGUGGGGUUAAUAACUCUACGUGCUGACGGUACCUGAGGAAUAAGCACCGGCUAACUUCGUGCCAGCAGCCGCGGUAAU